This 193-nucleotide unclassified non-coding RNA is filed under the name uncultured Diversispora. RNAcentral describes it as "partial internal transcribed spacer 2". Lineage: Eukaryota; Fungi; Glomeromycota; Glomeromycetes; Diversisporales; Diversisporaceae. The record is from RNAcentral.
AAAUAACAUUCGUGAAUUUUCGCGGAUUUGAGUUUUCCAGUAUUUAUUAUUAUAAUAAAUGUUGGUAACUUUAAAAUUAUUUAUUACUUGGUACAAGUUGAAAACGUGCUAUAUAUGUGGUUCGCUGACAACUUGUCCAUCUUAUAUAUUAUGCGCGCGCUUAGUAUUACACUUUGUGCAAGUAUAUAUUUUU